This 253-nucleotide ribosomal RNA is filed under the name uncultured bacterium. RNAcentral describes it as "partial 16S ribosomal RNA". It matches the Rfam family "Bacterial small subunit ribosomal RNA", at positions 524 to 776 of the family's 1533-position model. The record is from RNAcentral.
UACGUAGGGGGCUAGCGUUGUCCGGAUUUAUUGGGCGUAAAGAGCGUGUAGGCGGCCAGGUAGGUCCGUUGUGAAAACUGGAGGCUCAACCUUCAGAGGUCGACCGAAACCAUCUGGCUAGAGUCCGGGAGAGGAGAGUGGAAUUCCUGGUGUAGCGGUGAAAUGCGCAGAUAUCAGGAGGAACACCAAUGGCGAAGGCAGCACUCUGGGACGUGACUGACGCUGAGACGCGAAAGCGUGGGGAGCAAACAGG